UUAAAAAGCUCGUAGUUGAAUUUCGGGAUCAAUGUUUCGGUCAUGCCGUUGGUAUGUACUGAUAUUAUUGGUUUCUCACCUUCUAAAGAACCGUAAUGCCAUUAAUUUGGUGUCACGGGGAAUUAGGACUGUUACCUUGAAAAAAUUAGAGUGUUUAAAGCAGGCUCACGCUUGAAUACAUUAGCAUGGAAUAAUGAAAUAGGACAUCCGAUUCUAUUUUGUUGGUUUCUAGGAUCGAUGUAAUGAUUAAUAGGGAUAGUUGGGGG
RNAcentral lists this ribosomal RNA (266 nucleotides) under uncultured Glomus. Its description in RNAcentral is "partial 18S ribosomal RNA". It matches the Rfam family "Eukaryotic small subunit ribosomal RNA", at positions 619 to 888 of the family's 1831-position model. The record is from RNAcentral. Lineage: Eukaryota; Fungi; Glomeromycota; Glomeromycetes; Glomerales; Glomeraceae.